AUGUCUUUUCUGUUUGUAUGUAUUUAUUACAUGAAGCUGGAACAUGAGUCCUACAGGGAGCUGGAAUAUUAUAUCCCUUUCCUGGGGAAUCGCCGUGUCUGUCCACAUGAUCCAGGAAGUUCUAGGCAUCUGGCAAAAAAGCAGUUAAGAGUACACCACUGUCAGUCAUCUGGAAAUCCUUUCACUUUUAACCUUUCCGUGGCAUUUCACUGCAUGUGGGCUUUUCGUAAACAGCACUUAUCCUCCACUACCAGAAGCCAGCCAACAAGGGUGUCCACAGAGCCAACCUUCAGGACACAGAGCAGGGUAGGAAAAUGGGUGGGUGGAGACUGGGGAUGAAGAGCUGGCACACCCUUCUAACUGAACAGAUGAGGAGAUGGAGGCCUAGACAGGGGAAGGACUUGCCGAAAGUCUUUUAGCAAUUGAAGGACAAAAUGAAGGCUUUACCCCCAGACCUCUUCAUUCCCAUAUUUGAUCUCAAAACUAUACUGCUUUCGGGCGCCUGGAUGGCUCAGUUGGUUAAGUGGCCGACUUUGGCUCAGGACACAGGUUCAAGCCCCGCGUCAGGCUCUGUGCUGACAGCUCAGGGCCUGGAGCCUGCUGCAGAUUCUGUGUGUCUCUUUGCCCCUCCCCUGCUCACGCUCUGUCUCUCUCUUUCUCUCAAAAACAAAUAAAAAAGCAUUAAAAAAAAUUAAAAACA
RNAcentral lists this long non-coding RNA (700 nucleotides) under Felis catus (domestic cat). RNAcentral's name for it is "lncRNA (ENSFCAG00000047728.1)". The record is from RNAcentral. Lineage: Eukaryota; Metazoa; Chordata; Mammalia; Carnivora; Felidae.